RNAcentral lists this long non-coding RNA (2573 nucleotides) under Marmota monax (woodchuck). The stretch from base 1032 to 1102 matches the Rfam family "tRNA". Lineage: Eukaryota; Metazoa; Chordata; Mammalia; Rodentia; Sciuridae. The record is from RNAcentral.
GAUUAUUUCAUUAUAGAUUAAUAUCACACAGCUCGUUAUAUUCAUUUGUGUGUAUGUAUGAAUGUGUGUGUAUGUGUGUUACUGGGAUAGAACUGAAGAACUCACAUGCUAGACAACUGCUCUACCACUGAGCUACAUCCUCAGUCCUACACAUUUUUCAAGCAUACCAAACAGUAAUAGUAACCAACACAUACAUCAAUUAUGUCUAUGAGCACUUGUAACAAACCCAUGAGGCAUGGAUCCUUUAAUUAUCUCUGUUUUACAUGUGAGGAAACUGAAAUCAUGCAAUUAAUGACGAAGCUGGGAUUCAAACCAGAGCACUCCAAUGGCAGCCUCAGCUCUUAACCAAAAUUCUGUAUUACCUCCCUAAGGACACCUGCCCCUGGUCCUUCUAUUGUGCCUGACAAAGUCCAGCACAGCAUUCACAACUUUCUUUAGGUAGCUCCUCUUUCUCGCCCUCCACUCAGGAUGAAUUUCCUUUCCUAUUUCUCAUUGCACUUUACCUAUGGUUUUAUUUAUAGAUAUUCCUUAAAAAUCUGAGUAUGGGCUAAAUGAUGUGGCUCAGUGAUAGAGCACUUGCCAGGCAUGUGUGAGGUCCUGGGCUCAAUCCCCAGCACUGCAAAAAAUAAAAGUGAAAAAAAAUAAAAGUGAAAAUCUGAGGAGACAAUGAGAAACUACCAGAUAUAUUUCAUGCUCUUCCUGUCCUCUCCCUGUCCCCUCCUCUCCUGCUCCAGAGAUUACUCAACUGGAUUAUGUAUUACUUUCCAUGCCAAGCUCUGCCCCUCACUCAGUACUCCUCCUGCCGGCAGGGACUUCCCUGGACUAAACAUGGGCAAAGUAAUUCAAGCCCUCCACUGCCACCCCACCCAUCAGAAUCAGAAGGCAAUGGCUGUCGCAGAGCUCUCCACGUUCGAGAAGUCUUCUUCCUUCACAUUGCUGGCAAUGAUGCUGGGACUCAGCUGGAGCCAGGCCCAGCGUCAUGGUCAUGCAACUUGUACAGAUGUACUGGGCAUCUCAGGCCCCAUGGGGCUGCAGGUGUGGUUCAGUGGUAGAAUGCUUGCCUAGCAUGCAAGAAGCCCUGGGUUUCACCCCCAGCACUGCAUUUUUGAAAUUAGUUCUGGGAAUCUAACCCAGGGCCUCACACAUGCUGGGAACACUCUACUCACCAGCUACCAUGAUUGAUUUAAUGCUGUGUUGCCUCCUUCUGAGUUUUUGAACAAGAAUCCCCAUAAUUUCAUUUUGAACCGAACUUGCAAAUUAUUUAACUGGUGUUGUUGACCUCAACAUCUAUCUCCACAGGGCCUUUCCGUGUGGUCUGGAUUUUCUGUGUGGAGAGAGAUCCAGGCAAAAGAAGUGAUGACCUAACCUAACCUUUAUGGGGAAUGGCAAGGUCACACUGUAAGAAGAGCAAGGAGGAAUGGGAGAUACUAUUACAAUCUUUGGAAGAUUAAAUUUGCCACAUGCAGUCAUGACUAGGUCACCUCCCCAUCCAGCUGCAGAAGGGACUGGAAGGAUUCAUUUCAGCCUUGCCUUCUAGAAGGGCUGGUGUCAGGACCUCUAACCCCUGCUGAGAAAAGGGCCCACGGAGAGUUGGGAAUUUGAUCUUCACAGCCACUUCUAGCUCUUCCGCUCCUGGGUCAUUUAUAAGGAGCCCAGUGGGAUCAGAACCUGGGGCAAUGGGACCAAGAGCCUGACCCAGGUGCCUAAAACGUCUGCUCUCCUGGAGGAUUGGAAUCUCUGGGGAAGGCAGACUCUGCCUGGACAUCUGUUUCUCCCGCUGGCUUCUCUGCUUGACUAAAGAUUCCUCCUCUUUCGUUUCUCCCUGGGGCAUGUUGUUGUCUUUCUCAUUAACUUCCCCUCAACUCUCAGCAAGGUCCCUAGACUCUGAGCUCUGCUAAUUCCCCUGUAAUCCUCUGGCAAACCAGGAGGCUAAUUAAAUUGUGAGCUUUUGCAGUCACAGUCUCCAAAUCUCUUAGUCUCCCAUGUCUCUUCCCUUCUUUUUCUUUGUGACUGUCCCUGCAGAGUCCAGAUUCGUUUGGACAUUUUUUAUUGUCUUCUCCUUAAUCUGCCUUCUUCUCCUCUCUUCUUCAGUCUUCUUUUAAUCUGCAACUAGAGUAAUAUGAAAAUACAGCUCUGAGCAUCGCUUUCUCUCUGCUGCAAGAUAAAAGCUCUUUAGCUUGCUUUGAAACUCCACACAUCUUCUCUGCCAUAACUUCCCUUCACAAACCCUUCUCUUGGGAAAUGAGCCAUGAACAGUGCCCCUCCCCAAGUCCCUGUCUAUGCCAUCUCCGCAUUUCUCUUCAUAUUCUUACCUUUAAUUGGACCUUAUACCCCGCUCACUCUUCCAUCUCCACCCCCAUCUCCUCAUGUCAAAACCCUACUCAUUACUUAGAAAUAGCCUAUUUUUGCCACUUUCCCUGAUCUCCCCCAGCUGAAACUGCUCCCUCUUUGAGCUCUCCUGGUAUUUUGUGGCUUACUGCUACUGGCACUGAUGCCUUUUUCAGAUAUUUCAGUUUUUUUAUUUGCUUUUUUUUUUUGUACCAGAGAUUGAACCCAAGGGCACUUAACCACUG